CUCAUGCUUUAAAAGUGCUGGAGUUAGAGCUGUAUUUUUUUAGAAGGUUUUAGUCCAGGUUGCAGUAUCUUAUUUGCUUCCUACUUCCCAGAAGUGCUCCUCAGUGAUAUGGUAGCAAAUACAAGACAAAUGAGUAAUAAAUCUUUACAUAAGGUGUUCUGGUCCCAUCUCCAUCAAUAGGGCUCAGACUGGAGUAGAAAAUGGAACAAGAGGAGGGAAAGGUAUUGAGUCAGCUUUACCAUCGCGACGAUGGCAACGCCACCGAUCAUCAUGCAGGUGGGCCAGAAGAGGGAGUGAAACAGUACAUUAGAGCUGUAUAGUUUGGUCAAUAUUACAUUCUUCUGAGAGCCUUCGGGGUCAUAGAAGCAGGAGAAGCGUUGGUACUUUCGGAAGUUUUCCAUCACAACGUUCACCAGCGACAGGGAUUCUUCAUAAUUCUUGCCACACUUGGGUAUAUACGAACACUGGGAAGAAAUCAGAGGGAGUAAAAUGCAUCUUCAAACCAGAUACUAUGUCUGUUUUCAGGUGACGAACAGGAGAAUUCAGAGAUGAUUAUGCUUCUCAAAAGAAACACAAUGCUAUUAAGUCAGUAAUACAUUUAUCCCAGACAAAACUCACUGUUAUGUACAUCUAAGGAAUUGCCCAUUGGAGUUCCUCCAAGUGCUGUACAAACAUUAGUGCUUUAAUCUGCACAGCGGCCUCAUGGAUAGGUGAAUAUAUUAUUAUUGCUAAUUUACACAUGCAGAAAUGGAACUGAUGAAGCACCUCUUCAUCUUAAGUGGUGUGUGUAUUCUUGCAGUGAGAUGGGUAAUUGGCUCGCUGUAAAUACAAAUCUGGUAGAUUGGACCUCACUUGCAUUGGAUCAACAUGAUCUUAGGCACAGGAGUUCUCUCACAGAGGGAAAGGCCCCAAAGAGACCUUAAUACAAAUCUUCCCUUAGGGGCAAUGACUCAGUUAAGAACAAAUGGAAAGUCUAAGAGAAAACGGAUUUUCUUCGGGAUGUGGCAGAAGGCUUCCCUUCAGCCUCUUGCUGGAGACCAGCCUGGCUGCUGGGGAGGCCCUUGGGCUGUUGCUUAACUUGCUCAUGGGUCCUGCCAUGCUCCCCUGCUGCACUGCUGGUCUCACUUGUAUGGGGUGAUAAUUAAACUUUGAUAAUUUAAUGUGAAAGAGUAAAUUUUUUUGAAUGGAAAAGACAUCUUGAUUAAACUAAUGUGACCCGUGGGUUUUUAUUGUUUUAAUGUAUAAACUUUACAAAUGUCCCUCAGUUCUUUUUCAUAACUGUGCUGUGACUUUUCAUAACAUACUGAGACAAAUCUCUAGUCCUAAUAAUGAUCAAAAGAUUAAGCUCAUAACAGGAUUUGAUUGAUUCAUUGGCAGGUUUAUUAGCCCAGAAUAUGAUUUGAAGCACGGCAGGAAGAUUGUCUGGCGUUAGCAGACUGGAGCAUUAAUGGUAGAGCAUGUCAGCCUGCCAUUAUGAAUAUUUCAUAGAGCUCUAGAAAUUAGAGACGGAAAAUAUCAGAGCAGUAAUAUCUCAUCCAUCUUCCCAGUGGAUGCAGGACUGCUCCCCCCUGGAUAUUGUCUCGCACUCUGUUCAGAUUUGUCUUAAAUUUCCAAAGCCACAAGCCCUCUUCCACUGCCUAUGACUCUUCAGUACAUCAGAAUCUAAUAAGUAGGGGAAAUUUUUCAGUGAAGCUGUGCCUCAUUUUCUUUUACUGAAUUAUAUGCUGUCACUGUCUUAGCAGUAUUUCCAGCUCUGAUAUUUAGGUGGUGGGUGUUUGUUGUUGUUUUGUUUGGUUUUUCAAAUUUGGUGCUAGAUAUUUUUGUUUCUUGAAGUCCCAACUUUUACUGUCCUGAGGGAAGAGAUUGAGUGAGGACUUGGCCACUUUUUCCAAGCUCUUUCCUCAGAAAACAGCAGCCACGUAAAAGCCCAAACAACGACAGAUUCCUGGACUCCAAGUCUGCAGAAACACCUCAGGAGUGCAGUGGGGAGGUUCUGCAAGUCCUGGCUUCCUGCAAGGUGGACUAUUUUCCAGACACUUUUGUAGGAGACCUGAUGCAGCAGCAGAACUUGAGCUGCUGCCUCUGAUGUCUGAUGGCCCCGAGCCACCAGCCGUGUUGGGCUGGCUGGGCUGAUUGUGCCAAGAGGGUUUGAAAAUACGAAGCCAUGGAAGUCAGUUGUGCAAGGGAGGUUGAUGUGUUUUGUCUCUCAGCCCAGGCUCCUUGUGCCAAAAUCAUCUCUCCCUGUGCUACAGCCUCCCGUGUGCUCUCCGAGAUACAGUGCCCUUCACUCCACGUGCUAGUGGCCUUGUCCCAGUUCCCCUGAGCAUUGUGUAGGUGGCUGGCAGGCAAGAAGGCAGACACUGAUAAUGGGAUGCUUGGAGUGUUUCCUUUGUUUUGAUCACCAUUUAGUUUUCUCCAAUGCCUGGCAGGGAGUUUUGUGUCUAUCACUUACUCUGUAUCUGUGAAUGUAGCCUGCUAACUCUAUGCUGUUUUAUUACACUUCUGCAUUGUUGAACACCUGGGAACCUGCAAACAUGGAAGUAAACUUUGUGUCUCUGCCUCCAGUAAGGAUUCUGUGACACAACAUGAGAAAAGUGGCUCUUGUGUUACUUGCAAUCUGAUCACAAGAAGCAUGCCCUAGGUAGAUAUAAAGAAAACUUAUAUUUCCAGCCCUACUUUUCUAAUUUAAAGGAUCAGUCAGUCAGUACAGGCUGUCUACAUGGGGGCAUGUCCAGUCCAAAGCUCUGCUCAAUGAAGAGCUGCUCAGGGACUUAUCCAGUCACAUGUGAGUAUCUCCAGGGAUGGACACCACACAAAUCUCUGGGCAAGCUGGAGGUGGUGUUGUUUAAGUCAAUGAAGUUGACUUCUGCAGCAGGAGGCACCGUUUCUCCCCAGAUUUUGGCUCUCGAGCAGGUGCGGCUACUGCCAACAGCCUAGUUGGUAUCACACGUAUGGAGCACUGCUGAGAUGGGCUGUGCUGGUCUGAAACCUGGAGGCUCUGCUGAUCCCAGCCAGGCACAACAAGCCAGGUAGUUUACAGCUGUUGAGAACUCGUAUUCAAAACUGCAUUUGGAUUCAGGUCACAUAAUCAGCAGCAGCAUAUCAGGAAAAGCUGGGAAUCCUCCUGAGAGCAGAGCUUAACCUGUAAAACAACCUUGGGCUGGAGGAGUAUUAACUGUGCCUACAUUAAAUUAGGAAGAGGAGGUGGCUGGGGGAAUUUCAAAGUCUGUUUUCAGCAAAUAAAAAUCAUCAAUAACAGAAAGUGAAGAUUUAUGCUGAACUUGCUGAUUUAUUUGAAUCCAGUGGAGCACAGAGACUGAUCUGAUCUAUUUUAACCAAAUCACAGCAUGAGCAUCACUGGAUUUUACUUCUGCCCCAGCAGAAAUUUGGGUCUGUCCUGGCUUGCAAGUGCCAUGGAAUGAGCUAAGUGUGCCUCAUUUCUGCACUGACACCAAACUGGGCUGGGGAGCACUGCUGCAUUUCACAAUUCAGAUCCGGAGGACUUCAUCUCUCAGCCACAGGAGCUAAUUAUCCAGCAGAACAACCGGCCCCGUGCAACCACUCUGUGCUUUGACUCAUUUUAAUAUCACUUCAUCUUAAUAUGCAGAAGUAAUUUGGUCUACCGAACUGCUGCCAUAAAUAGAAACACAAUAGGUUACGUUGUCAGCAGCCUGACAAUGGGGCUCAGCCUUUGUGGGCUGCGGUUUGCCGAGCGCCUGUAGUUUGGGGUUCGGUGACCUUGGGUAGCAAAGCAGUCAGUGCAGCUCUGGCACUUGCA
Anas platyrhynchos (mallard) is the source of this 3778-nucleotide long non-coding RNA. RefSeq lists it as uncharacterized. The record is from RefSeq and is a predicted model, not a curated record. Lineage: Eukaryota; Metazoa; Chordata; Aves; Anseriformes; Anatidae.